This is a long non-coding RNA of Pollicipes pollicipes, 679 nucleotides long. RefSeq lists it as uncharacterized. The transcript is spliced from 2 exons. Lineage: Eukaryota; Metazoa; Arthropoda; Thecostraca; Pollicipedomorpha; Pollicipedidae. The record is from RefSeq and is a predicted model, not a curated record.
GCGCCUGGGAAGGGGCCGCCGACAUCUUUCGUGGUCAUAUUUGUGGUUGUUAUUAUUUGUUAUUCGUUUACGUUUGGAGGCGUCCCUUUGAGGUAUUUAGAAAGGGAUACAAAUUGCCGUUCAGUACAUAGCAGCAUUCGUGGUCAUCUUCAUAUUUUUGGAAGUGCAAGUUGUUUCACGUUCCUAUCGCGAUUCAUGGUGUCGUGGUGCAUUUCACAUCUCAUAAGAGCGUACAUCAACUCAACCGAGCUCACAAUCCUGUCGUGGGAGUGAAGACGAGAGCAAGUUCUGUGCCUGAUUUGUAGGCUUGUUAUUGUGUCAAGAAUCUUAAAGGAGCUGAUGUAUUCCAAGGACUUCCAAUUGUCUACACAUUGUCUCUAGUGCCACAUUGAUCUCAGUUUUACCCAGCUUGUGUGUGGACGUUUUGCAAUAGCGAGAAGUUAAGUUUCAGUGAAACAAGAGUGAAUAUACAGUCUCCUGUUGCAUUUUGUGAACUGUCUUUGAAUUGUCUCAACUUGAACAUAAAGCAUUGGGAUUGAACUCCACUGUGAUCAGAAGAUGGCUAGUGAUGUUGAAAUGCUGGCUAACAAGAAUGGUAAUGGCAUAUCAGCCAAGCAACAAGUAAAUGUGGCAAAGCCAGCCAAGGAUAAACCAGGCGAAGGAAAUGCAUCCAAGAAUU